GCACACACAGGCUGGCUGGUGUGUGUGUGCCUGCGCGCACGCAUCCUGUUCAGGACCCGGGCGGGCAGUCCCAUCCCCAAGCCCGCGCCUCCAGGAUGCGUGCGGGAUGUUUUGGAGAUUCUUCAGACUGGCAGGUUGUAAUUUUGGAAUCUUCUUUGUGGAAACCGUCAGGAAACACUGACAUGUGUUUUCACCCAGCAGCAGGCGAAAGGGCUUGGAUGUGGAAUAAGAAUAGCUGGCAGAUGAUUGAGCUAUAGGCUCCAGAGGAAAGGUACACUCCAGACCAGCUCCAGAGAACGAGAGAAGACUUCCCGGAGGAGACGGUGCUAAAUCCGAAGGGACCAUUAAGGAUGACUAGCGGGAUAUUGAUGAAGCUUAAGGUCUCAUGCCCAGGAUGCUUUCUUAUAGGCCAAAUGGUAUCACUCCAUUCUACUGGUGUCAGCUGCUUGAAAUAGUGUAGACACAGAGAAUUCUGGGACCCGUGUCGCUCAGAAACAAUGUCAAAGUCCUGGCUGAAGGUAUCUACAUUACCCACGAAUUGCUGUAUAUGAGUGGAAUGUACAAGCAUGGAUGCAACAGCAAGAGAACUAAAUUUGUUUUGUGCUUCAAA
Molecule: long non-coding RNA, 610 nt
Filed under: Homo sapiens (human)
Lineage: Eukaryota; Metazoa; Chordata; Mammalia; Primates; Hominidae
Description: non-protein coding lnc-PKD2L1-1:5
Source: RNAcentral